GAUGAAGAACGCAGCGAAAUGCGAUAAGUAGUGUGAAUUGCAGAAUUCAGUGAAUCAUCGAAUCUUUGAACGCACAUUGUGCCCCUUGGUAUUCCAUGGGGCAUGCCUGUUCGAGCGUCAUUUGUACCUUCAAGCUUUGCUUGGUGUUGGGUGUUUGUCCUGAGGGACUCGCCUUAAAGUAAUUGGCAGCCAGUGUUUGGUUUUGAAGCGCAGCACAAGUCGCGAUUCAAGGCUAUACACCAGCUUCCACAAGCCUUUUUCACUUUUGACCUCGGAUCAGGUAGGGAUACCCGCUGAACUUAAGCAUAUCAAUAAGCGGAGGA
Molecule: unclassified non-coding RNA, 323 nt
Filed under: soil metagenome
Description: partial contains 5.8S ribosomal RNA, internal transcribed spacer 2, and large subunit ribosomal RNA
Rfam family: 5.8S ribosomal RNA (bases 1-120)
Source: RNAcentral